RNAcentral lists this unclassified non-coding RNA (234 nucleotides) under Fusarium oxysporum. Its description in RNAcentral is "partial contains small subunit ribosomal RNA, internal transcribed spacer 1, and 5.8S ribosomal RNA". The stretch from base 1 to 46 matches the Rfam family "Eukaryotic small subunit ribosomal RNA", at positions 1786 to 1831 of the family's 1831-position model. RNAcentral also lists the same sequence under 2 other names. The record is from RNAcentral. Lineage: Eukaryota; Fungi; Ascomycota; Sordariomycetes; Hypocreales; Nectriaceae.
AAGUCGUAACAAGGUCUCCGUUGGUGAACCAGCGGAGGGAUCAUUACAGAGUUGCAAAACUCCCCAAACCAUCGCGAACCCACCCCUAAACAGUUGCUUCGGCGGCGCCCGAAGGCCCUCAGCGGCCGGAAUGCCCGCCGGGGACCCCCCAAACUCUUGUUUUUAAGCAAACGGCCUCUCUGAGUACUGUACUGUAAUCAGUCAAAACUUUCAACAACGGAUCUCUUGGCUCUG